Molecule: RNA transcript, 805 nt
Organism: Rhodamnia argentea
Lineage: Eukaryota; Viridiplantae; Streptophyta; Magnoliopsida; Myrtales; Myrtaceae
Exons: 2
Source: RefSeq, a predicted model, not a curated record
AAGGGUUAAAUCGAAUCACAUCAGUUUAAAAAAAAAAAGGAGGAACAAAGUGAUUCGGAUCCAUCCUACAAGAAAAGUAAUGAUUUUUGAUUGCUUUACUGACCUUUUUGAUGGCUUUUUCAAUACAGGCGAGAGCGAAAGGAGAAGAGGGGCCAUUUUCACCCCUCCCCUCCCGUGUUGUCCUCUUCCCCCAGCCUACCUACUCCUCCUGAAAGCAGCGCCAUCGCUUGAGAAGGAAACCCUAUUUCCACCUCCUUCCUUCCUUCCUUUCCCCAGAAAAGAACCCCCGAAAACAUGCAAUCCAUGUUGAAUCUCAACGCCUCCUUCGGCCUCCCUCUCUGCGUUUCCGGGAUCACCUGUCCCCUCUCUCUCUCCCAAGAGAUGGUGGAUCACGACCGCCGGAGGCGGGCGAUGAAGAGGAUGAGAUCGCGACCCAAGCCGGGACCGGAUCGCGAGGCGGGGGCGGCGGCGGCGCGCGUCUCGAUCCCGGAAGGUGGCAAUCUCUCCCGAGAUCUCGCCGAUCUAUUGAGCGAGCUGGCCGCCGUCGACGGCAGUAGCGGCUUCAGCCCCUGUACAGCAAAAGCCGCUUAGGUCUGGAGAUUCGCUCCGCUCAUUUCGUGGGUCUGCCACGGCCAGUGCGUCCGAUCUCCUCCUCCUCCUCCUCAUCUUCUUCUUCUUCUUCUUCUUCUUCGUUUCCAAAUUUGUACGGGCCCUGUAAAUCGCUCCAUACAUUUUGCCUGUGAAGAUUUACGAUUGCAAAGUGCGUUUGGAGUCGCGAUCCGUGUUGGGGUUUUUCCUUCGAUUC